GAUGAACGCUAGCGGCAGGCUUAACACAUGCAAGUCGAGGGGUAUAGUAGCAAUACUAGAGACCGGCGCACGGGUGCGUAACGCGUAUGCAACCUACCUUGAACAGGGGGAUAGCCCAGAGAAAUUUGGAUUAAUACCCCAUGGUAUAUUGAUGUGGCAUCACAUUAUUAUUAAAGUUCCAACGGUUCAAGAUGGGCAUGCGUCCCAUUAGCUAGUUGGUAAGGUAACGGCUUACCAAGGCGACGAUAGGUAGGGGUCCUGAGAGGGAGAUCCCCCACACUGGUACUGAGACACGGACCAGACUCCUACGGGAGGCAGCAGUGAGGAAUAUUGGUCAAUGGGCGCAAGCCUGAACCAGCCAUGCCGCGUGCAGGAUGAAGCAUCUAUGGUGUGUAAACUGCUUUUGUACGGGAAGAAACCCUUGCUUGAGAGCAAGAUUGACGGUACCGUAAGAAUAAGGAUCGGCUAACUCCGUG
Molecule: ribosomal RNA, 476 nt
Filed under: uncultured bacterium
Lineage: Bacteria
Description: bacterial SSU rRNA
Rfam family: Bacterial small subunit ribosomal RNA
Source: RNAcentral